AGACAACAAAAUGUUUAAUAUUAUUAUUUUGUCACCUUAGGUCGAUCGGUAUCUCACGUUCUUAAUUAAUUAAGAAUUUCAAUUUCUAAGUUUUUCUAGGUCACACCCAUUAUUUUUCCUGGGCCAUUAGCUCAGGUGGUUAGAGCGCACCCCUGAUAAGGGUGAGGUCCCUGGUUCAAGUCCAGGAUGGCCCAUAUCUCUAUGUUGGGGGUAUAGCUCAGUUGGUAGAGCGCCUGCUUUGCAAGCAGGAUGUCAGCGGUUCGAGUCCGCUUACCUCCACUGAUUACCACCUCUUCCAUAAUUUGUAGUAGGGAAAUGUUUUGAGUUGUGAUCAAAUUCUGAACGAAUCUAGCUUCCUAAUAAAACUAUUAAGAUGCUGGACUCAUUGAAUUAAUUUCAUUGAUUUCAGAGAACCUUGACAACUGCAUAGAUUAUUUUUUAAAGACAAUAAGCAUCUUUAAUGAUGCAGAUUUAUUAUUUGUGCGAAUGCAUUAAUAACAAUUCUAUUAAGCUGAUGCUUCAAUUUUGAAGUUAUU
This 536-nucleotide transfer RNA is filed under the name uncultured cyanobacterium. RNAcentral's name for it is "partial 16S-23S intergenic spacer". The stretch from base 207 to 279 matches the Rfam family "tRNA". Lineage: Bacteria; Bacillati; Cyanobacteriota. The record is from RNAcentral.